Molecule: long non-coding RNA, 730 nt
Filed under: Cucumis sativus (cucumber)
Lineage: Eukaryota; Viridiplantae; Streptophyta; Magnoliopsida; Cucurbitales; Cucurbitaceae
Description: long non-coding RNA (CSAT_LNC002855)
Source: RNAcentral
UUAAUCAUGACUACCACAAGCCUAAGAAAAGAAAUCACAAUAUAAAAUUAGUCCUAAUUUGAAUCAAAGUAUCAUGCCUUCAAUGGUAAUGAUUAUUAUCAUUUCAGCCAUUAUGAUUAUCAUUAUUAACUUCAAUGACCUUUAUGCAAUCUAUAUAUAUAUAUACUAUAUCACAUUGUGAAGAUACUCCAAUUCAAUUUCAAAUUCACAAGAAAAUCACAUUAUUAUUUGAAGCUAAAUCAAGACUUAACUCUCUUUUUAGGGUAUGUUGAAGAGAGAAGCUUUGGCCAUAUCCAUGUGCUCGAACUCAGGAGGAUUAGUGGGAUGGUGUCGCCCACGACGACGGUCAAGACGUCGACGAAGUAGCACAAUACGGCUUGGGAAUCGACGAAGAGGGUUCUGUCUUGGAUCUCGAGUCGUGGUCGGCCCUUUUCGAAUGUUGAAGAGGUUGAUUAUGGAGUUGGCUCCAAAUGAGAAGUUGAUAGAAGCUUAUUACUCACUUUUGCCAUUUUUACGUCCAACUUUGUUCCCUCUUAGUUGAUGAAUAUGCUCAACUCUUUAAUGAAUGAAAGCAUUUUUAUUUUUAUUUUUUUCAUUUGGGUAAUGAUCUUAUCCCUCUUUCAAUAUUUUCAUGUAUACUUUGUACAAUUUCUUGUUCUGAAGUGAAUCACAAUGAUUUUCAAUAUGAAUUUACUUUAGUUUAAUAAUAAGUUCAUCUAAUUAGUACCAA